CAGUAGCCACGGGAAUACGAAGGGUGCAAGCGUUACUCGGAAUUACUGGGCGUAAAGCGUGCGUAGGUGGUGGUUUAAGUCCGUUGUGAAAGCCCUGGGCUCAACCUGGGAAUUGCAGUGGAUACUGGGUCACUAGAGUGUGGUAGAGGAUAGUGGAAUUUCCGGUGUAGCAGUGAAAUGCGUAGAGAUCGGAAGGAACAUCUGUGGCGAAGGCGACUAUCUGGGCCAACACUGACACUGUGGCACGAAAGCGUGGGGAGCAAACAGGAUUAGAUACCCGUGUAGUCCCUGUCUCUUAUAC
Molecule: ribosomal RNA, 301 nt
Filed under: uncultured bacterium
Lineage: Bacteria
Description: partial 16S ribosomal RNA
Rfam family: Bacterial small subunit ribosomal RNA
Source: RNAcentral